This 245-nucleotide ribosomal RNA is filed under the name uncultured Paracoccus sp. RNAcentral's name for it is "partial 16S ribosomal RNA". It matches the Rfam family "Bacterial small subunit ribosomal RNA", at positions 524 to 768 of the family's 1533-position model. The record is from RNAcentral. Lineage: Bacteria; Pseudomonadati; Pseudomonadota; Alphaproteobacteria; Rhodobacterales; Paracoccaceae.
UACGGAGGGGGCUAGCGUUGUUCGGAAUUACUGGGCGUAAAGCGCGCGUAGGCGGACUGGAAAGUUGGGGGUGAAAUCCCGGGGCUCAACCUCGGAACUGCCUCCAAAACUAUCAGUCUGGAGUUCGAGAGAGGUGAGUGGAAUUCCGAGUGUAGAGGUGAAAUUCGUAGAUAUUCGGAGGAACACCAGUGGCGAAGGCGGCUCACUGGCUCGAUACUGACGCUGAGGUGCGAAAGCGUGGGGAG